Molecule: ribosomal RNA, 460 nt
Filed under: uncultured bacterium
Lineage: Bacteria
Description: partial 16S ribosomal RNA
Rfam family: Bacterial small subunit ribosomal RNA
Source: RNAcentral
CCUACGGGGUGCAGCAGUGAGGAAUAUUGGUCAAUGGGCGCUAGCCUGAACCAGCCAAGUAGCGUGAAGGAUGACUGCCCUAUGGGUUGUAAACUUCUUUUAUAUGGGAAUAAAGUGCAGUGUGUAUACUGCUUUGCAUGUACCUUAUGAAUAAGGAUCGGCUAACUCCGUGCCAGCAGCCGCGGUAAUACGGAGGAUCCGAGCGUUAUCCGGAUUUAUUGGGUUGAAAGGGAGCGUACGCGGGUUGUGAAGUCAGUUGUGAAAGUUUGCGGCUCAACCGUAAAAUUGCAGUUGAUACUGGUAUCCUAGAGUACAGUAGAGGUAGGCGGAAUUCGUGGUGUAGCGGUGGAAUGCUUAGAUAUCACGAAGAACAUCGAUUGCGAAGGCAGCCUGCUGGACUGUAACUGACGCUGAUGCUCGAAAGUGUGGGGAGCAAACAGGAUUAGAUACCCUUGUAGUC